AGGCACGUGCUGCCACACCUGGCUGAUAUUUCAAAUAUUUUUUAAUAUAGUAGUUCUCACUUUGCGUAGGACUAUGUUAACUCAACUUGAGCUUAUUGGAGCUGUGUCUUUGCUUUAUUUGACUUUUGGUUACACAGUACCCUGCAUAGCAAGGAUUGCCUAUAUAAAUUUUAAUGAAAGCUAAUUCCUAAAUAUUACUAUUAUUUUACGCAUGUUUGAUUUGUGAACCAUAUUUAAUAAUUUCUCAUUUUGAAGCCUUUUUUUUUUUGAGACAGAGCUUUGCUCUGUCGCCCAGUCUGGAGUGCAGUGGUGUGAUCUCCACCUCCCGGAUUCAAGUGAUUGUUUUGCCUCAGCCUCCUGAGUAGAUGGGAUUAUAGGCCUGCACCACCAUGCCCAGCUAGUUUUUGUAUUUUUAGUAGAGACGGGGUUUAACCAUGUUGGCCAGGAUAUUCCAAACUCCUGGCCUCAAGUGAUCUGCCCGCCCUGGCCUCCCAAAGUGCUGGGAUUACAGGCGUGAGCCACCUUGUCCGGCCUUCAUUUUGAAACUUCUUGAGCAUGUUCCUAAGCGUGUAAAUUUGUGGCUGCUGCUUUCUCUGGAGGUACAGUUUUUAUAACAUGAUGCAAGAUGGAUCACAGAAAAGCUAAUGUAGCAGUUUGUAUUACUCUAUAAUGUGAAGCAGCAUCUUGCAAAAUGGUGAUUUUGUGUGUUUAAAAUUUUUAAAAAAUAAUUAUAUAUAUCAUUAGGAAUUCUUUUCUCUCUGACAUAUUUUCAUUUUUUAAGUAAUCAACAAGAUGCCACGUCAGUAGCAACUGAGUCUUCAGAAUCAAGCACUUCAGAUUUGCCUUCAUUCGAAGUUGGAAUUAGAGCAUUGUGUGAGGUGAAUAAUGCUGAGGGUAGUUGUAUAGAAGAAAGAAAUGUUGACCUAAAAAAUAAUUCACUGGAAAUUGAUCAAACAGAAAAUGUUAAACCAAUGUUGAGAGGUCGCUUCCAGAGACCUAAACCCAAUUUGUCAAGGGCUGGGAAGAAAUCAGUUCUUUCACAAGGCAAAACAGAGGCAGAGAGCAAGAAUUCACAUUCAAAAACUUCAGUUGAAAAGAACCACGUGGAAAAAGAUAAAAUGAAUACAUUGGACAUUUUGAGAAUGGAGACUACAGAGAGAGAGAAUCCAGAAGCUGAAACUUUAUCUAUUUUGGGUGAAAAAAAUUGUCUGCAGGAAGGGAGUCAACUAAAGGCUUUAAGACCUGCACAAGUGAGGGGCCGAUUGCAAAAGCCAAAGCCAAAUGUAGGUAAAGCUGCUGAAAGAAAAGAAAUUCUCAUAUCACAGGAAGAAAUUGGGGCCAAUGUAGAGAAGAAUGAAAAUGAAUCCUGUGCUGAUAGAGAUACUCCUCAACACAUGGAAGAUCAAUCACAUAAAGAUUUUGAAGAGGAAGAUGUCAUAUUACAGCCUGAGAAAAAUGAUUCUUUUCAAAAUAUGCAGCCAGAUGAGCCCAAGGUUCUUAAUGAAUGUCUACGCGUUCAAGAGAAUAAUAAGGCAAAUAAACUUAACCAAGUCCCAAUUCUAAGGACUCGAUUUCAGAAACCAAAGCCAAAUAUAGGAAGAGGAACUGGAAGGAGAGAAAUUUCCUCAAAGGAAGAGGUACUAGAGAAGAUUCUUGUCUCUGGGGAAAUGGCGGCAGCAUUGAGAGAAACUGUAAGACUAGACACCUCACCAAAGGAGAUGGUACCAGCAGAGAUUAAUACUAAAGAAAUGCAGUCAGAUUUAAAAGAAACUGGAAGAAGAGCCAUUUCUCCCAGGGAGAAGAUUCUAGAUGUGAUUGAUGUCACCAUGGAAAUGGAGACAGGUUUGAAAGCAACGGGAAGAGAGAUUUGUCUAAGGGAGAAGACGCCAGAGGUGAUUGAUGCCACUGAGGAAAUAGACAAAGAUUUGGAAGAAACUGGAAGAAGAGAAAUACCCCCACAGAAAAAUGGCCCAGAGGAGGUUAAGCCUCUAGGUGAAAUGGAGACAGAUUUGAAAGCAACUGGAAAUGAGAGUUCCCCAAGGGAGAAGACACCAGAGGUGACUGAUGCCACUGAGGAAAUAGACAAAAAUUUGGAAGAAACUGAAAGAAGAAAAAUAUCCCCAAGGGAAAAUGGCCCAGAGGAGGUCAAGCCUGUAGAUGAAAUGGAGACAGACUUGAAAGCAACUGGAAGAGAGAGUUCCCCAAGGGAGAAGACACCAGAGGUGAUUGAUGCUGCUGAGGUAAUAGAGAUAGAUUUGGAAGAAACUGAAAGAGAAAUAUCGCCACAGGAAAAUGGCCCAGAGGAGGUCAAGCCUGUAGGUAAAAUGGAGACAGAUUUGAAAGAAAUUAGAGAAGAAAUUUCCCAAAGGGAAAAGGUGCUAGCAGAGAUCAGUGCUAUAAGGGAAAAGGAGAUUGAUUUGAAAGAAACUGGAAAAAGAGACAUUCCCAUGAUGGAGAAAGUAUCAGGAAAGAUGGCUGUUGUUGAAGAAAUGGAGGCAGAUUUGAAAGAAACUGGAAGAGAAAAUUUUAGAGAGAGAGGAUCUGAAGAGAUCUGUGUUACUGAGGAAAAGGUGGCAGAAUUGAAAAAAACUGGAAAAACAGACAUUUCUCCAAGGGAAAACGAGCUAGAGGAGACCAGUACCUCAAGACAAACUGACACACAUUUAAUGCAGAGCAGUAGCAAUGACUGCAGUGCUAUGCCUUCACUAGAUAUUCAAGUAUGUAUUUUUCUGUCCUUUAAAAGGUUUUUGAAUGCUUUUUUCAGAGGAAAUAAAUAAUUCCAUGAUUAUUUUGUCCUUAAGUCCAAUAACACUUAAAAAUCUCUAAAAGUCUAAAGUCUUUUGUAGCCCUAAGUUUCUGUGUUUCAGCACCUUGAAGAAACUGUAUGUUCUUUUUUAAAAAGAUAACGUAGGCUG
This 2915-nucleotide small RNA is filed under the name Pongo abelii (Sumatran orangutan). Its description in RNAcentral is "retained intron". Lineage: Eukaryota; Metazoa; Chordata; Mammalia; Primates; Hominidae. The record is from RNAcentral.